This 30-nucleotide non-coding RNA is filed under the name Cricetulus griseus (Chinese hamster). Lineage: Eukaryota; Metazoa; Chordata; Mammalia; Rodentia; Cricetidae. The record is from RNAcentral.
ACAAGAGGGGUUAAAGGAGGUUUCAGUAGU